UUUCUGCUAGUAUAGCUGCUUUAGUACGCUGGUCUUUGAAGCCAGAGGAGGGAUAUUUUAGCCCGCAGGAAA
RNAcentral lists this transfer RNA (72 nucleotides) under Pinctada albina. RNAcentral's name for it is "tRNA-Glu". Lineage: Eukaryota; Metazoa; Mollusca; Bivalvia; Pterioida; Pteriidae. The record is from RNAcentral.